CCCAAAAAUCGCGCCUUUCAAAAACAAAAAAUCUCCCUCUUCUUCUCCGACCAAAAUUUUCAUUUUCAUUUUCACCUUCGAUUUCCAAAUUCCUUCGAAUCAAAAACCUCCAAUCUUCAAAACCAAAAUGUUUCCCUUUUCGAUUCCCACCAGAAUCUCUCCCAUUUUUCAUCCUCACUAUAAACACCCAUUUUCCCCUUUCCUCUCCCGACUCGGCUUCACUUCUCAUUCUCACUCCCAUUCCUUCUUCGCCGUCUUCCAUGGAGUUCUCCGCCGUCCGUUUCCACUCCGAUAAGGAAAACCUUCCCCCGUUUACCCAUAAGUUAUACCCUUCAAUUCCAAAGAAACCCACCAUCCGAAGGAGGUUAAAUCGGAAGCCGCUUCUCGAUAUAACCAAUUCAUUUGAAAAUACUAUUCGACUCGGUUCGAUUCAAGAUGGAUUCAUCGCCUCGGUUGAGUCAGUUUGUUUGCAGCCAAAUUCCAGGAAGAGGAAAGCUGGUGAUGAAGUUUAUUCUGGAACUGCCAAAUCGCUCAGAAUGGGAUUCAGAUAACCGUUCUUAUUUUUCCUUUUUUUUUUUUUUUUUUUUUUUUUUGUUUUUUUGUUUUUCUAUAGAAAUUAGAUCAUAGAGUUACGUUCUUUUAACAUCCUGUUAAAUGUACACAUAACAAAAAAAAAAAGAGAGUUUCAGUUUAUUUCACAUGCUUAGCAUAUAUUCGUUGGUAUUUCGUGUGCCCAAAGAAUUGACUCUUGAUUUCUUCAAUAAUUUCGUUCAAUUUGUUUUCCUAUCUUUCAUACUCCAUUUGACUUGUAGAGGGCAUGCCUCUAUUUAGUAAUCCCUGUCAGUUUGUUGGUUCUUUUAACUUCGUCUACUGCUUCUUGGACUAUUGUUUUUUGUGCCUCAAGCAAGGUUGUGAAUUAUGGACAAAUUACCAAAAGCAAAAACGGCAAUCUCACAAAAAAAAAAUAACACCUAUAAUUAAAUGAACCUCUUUAAUUUCCCCCAAAACCUGAAAAAUAGUGCUUCCACUAAUUUCACAUUUUGAAACGUUAGAAAUUGUUGAAAGCGAAGAUAGCAUCCGUUCCCUAUCUUCGCUUUUGUUGGUUCCACCGAAAAAAAUUCUUGAAACCCUUAGAUUGGAGUUUAAAGCUUUGUCCCCUCAAAACCUUCAUGUUCUUCAUACAUUCGAUGUAAAUUGAGGGAUUUUCUUCUUGUCGAUUAUCUCCCUCCUCAAAACAAUUCCAGAUUCAGGUGAGUUCUUAAUCCGCACAAAGGUGAGCUUCCACAGGUGAUUUUCUUGUCACAUUUCUUCUAAAUUCAUAACAAUGUUAUCGAGAAAUCUUUAAAAGUUCCCUUUCUUAUGAUCGCCAAGUUUCAAAAGAAAAAGUAAGAGAAAGGUAAAGUGUAUAAUAUAUAUAUAGAUACAUUUGUGAAUAUAAAUAUAUUUUUUAAAUUAUAUAAACAAAUAUAUCCUUUGCUAUUUUUUAUUUUAAAUUUAUAAAUAUUGUUUUUAUAAUUUGUAACAAAGUUAAAUAUGAAAAAGAGAAAUGGAAGAGCCAGAGAUAGAUACUAUCUCCUUUAACAAAGCGGUUGAAAAUCUAUCAAGUUCUUCCGAUGAGUAUUAAUGUAUAUAUUUUUUUUCAAUUACACAAAUGUUGUAAAUGCUGAUAACUUAUUAUACAAAUAAUUACAACAGAGACUAGAAGAUACAAUGGUCGAGGGGUCGGGAAGCAAGCAUGAAAGUUCAAACACUCCAAAGGAAGAUACUUUUCUAAUGGAUACAGUGAAGUUACGAAUGAAGUUCAUAGAAUAAUUAAUUGGGAUGUAGACACGCAAUCAAAGUGGAAUCUGAAACAAAAGGUCUUUGCCAUGUCUUCCCUAUGCUUGCUACACCUAAUGAGGUAAUUAGUCCAAAUUUCGCACCCUUCCUUGAGGGAAAAAAAAAAUACAAUACUCCAAGGGGCGGAAGACGAACUUAGAAAGAGCCAAGAAAGGGACAUGAUUGCUUAGAUGCCUCUAGAUUGAGGCAUGCCCUCUACAAGUCAAAUGGAUUGACCGACAAAAAAUGUAGACAAGAUUGAAAAAAGCCAAGAGAGAAUGGAGAAAAGUAUGGAGGAUAUUUUGGAAUUUUUGAAAUCUGUAGAGCAAGAUGAAUAGAAAGUUCGAAGAACUAGGAAACAAAUUGAAUGGAAUUAUUGAAGAAAUUCAAGAGUCAGCAACUUAUCUCUUCGAGUGCAGGAGAGACUAACGGAUAUAUGAUAAGCAUGUGACAUAAACUGAAAUUAUGUGUAAAUGUAACAUGAUUUUAAAAUAUGUUGUAUUUUAGUUUGAAUUGAGUUCAUUAUUUAGAAGAGUAUUUUUUUUGCUAUAAAGCUUACAAUUUUAAUUAUUGAGUUAGUUAGUUAGGUACAAAGUUAAAUUCUAUACAAUUUUACCCAAACUACCUCAGGAACACCUCUAUAAUUCUUCUUAGCUCUACACAACUUCAAACUUGUUAUGUCCUAUUUUAGCUUUCUUGAUCAUGUUCUUCAAGUAAAAUCUUACAUCAACAAGAUGAUUUUGGGAAUAGAACCCAUCGAACUUUUUCAAUCCAUAUAUCAUUUGGAUGGUUUACUUUAUUGUGGAAUGAUUUAUAGAGAUUAAUUUGUUACUUUAGAGAGAUUGAACUUGUUAUAAAUUUGAAGGAACAUGAACUAGAUUCAUGAAAGUUCAUUGCUCAAAAGAUUGUGUUCUAAUCUAAUUAUUGAAGAAUAUGAAAGAAAAUUAUUACAGAUUUCUCAGUUUUUCUUCUUCCUUUCUUGACAAAUAAUUGGGCUCACUUGAUUCUUUUUCUUCACUUUGCAACACACACGCAUAUAUAGUUCUGCCACCCUAUCAACCAAUAAGCCCAUUGAAGAAGAAGAAUUUCCAGCCUUCAUUCCUUAUUUAUUAAGCAUCACCUCUUAAUUUACCUAUCAAGAGACAAAAUUUUCCACCUCCAUAAUUUACCAAUCAAAGAAAAGCUUAUGGGUUUAAGAAAUAAAGUCUCAAGCUUUGGAGUUUUGGGCUCCAUAUCCUAACAUUUCCUAGCUCUCAAAAUCGUUUUCCCAACUCUACUUUUCACCCUCAAAAUGGCUCCUCCUGCUCAACCUUUCUUCUAAUGAUCAACCAUAUCCUCGGCAUCAACUCCCAAUCUAUCCUUAUUUUCUUCCUAGACCUGCGCAUGCUGGCUUCCUCAGUCCUUCCCCAGUCACUCAACAUCAAGCUGACUAACAGUACUGAUUAUCUUCUCUAGAGGACUCAACUGUUUAUUGUUGCAAUCGUCAAUGGACUUGAAGGUUCUUUGGAUGGUUAAGUUCUUUGUCCUCCUCAGUUUCUUGAUGUGAAUCAGACUCAAGUCAGUGCUGACUACACUUACGGGCAACGAUUAAAUAGGAUAUUAAUGUGCUGAAUUUACUCUUUAUUUGAAGAAAAAAUGGGUGAAAUUGUGUCUCUACAAAUUGCUCAUAAAAUCUGGUAGCCCCUUAGUCGUAUGUAUAGCUCCAAAACUACUGCUAGGAUUAGGUGUUUUAAAGAAAAAUUGUUUGAGAUAAGAAAAGAUUAUAACCAACCUUUUUAACACAUGGUUUCUAAAGUUUAGUAUGUUGUUGAUUGAUUGAGGUUUUACUGUUGCAUAGUCUGAUACAUCAUUGUUUAUUUAUUGUCAUUCCUUUGCUUUUAUCAUCGUUUUGGUUUAUGUCGAUGACACCACUGCUCUACCAUGCUAAUUUUUCCUUCAAAGAUCUAAGAGAUCUUUCCUUUUUCUUUGGGAUUGAGGUUACUCGCAAUGGUGAAACUUUGCAUCUUUCACAAGCUAAGUAUGCUACUGACCUUUUCCACCAUGCAACUUUGGUAGAUUGCAAACAGGUUGCUACCCCCAUGUCACUGGUGCUUUUUUAUCAGCUAAUGAUGAUGCUCCCUUAGCUGAUCCCUACCAUGUAUCGAAACAUUAUUAGUGUACUGUUGCAAUAUUGCACCCUUCCACGACCUGAAUUUAAGUUUUGCUCUCAACAAAGUAUGCCAGUUUUUACAUGCUCCAACUUUUUCUCAUUGACAAGCUGUCCUACGCAUUUUGCGCAACGUUAAAGUUAAUUACUAGCUCUCUUGGUAUUUUGUUCGUUCGUUCUUAUACUUUAUCUUUGACUUGUUACACAGAUGUUGAUUGGACAAAUUAUUUUAACGAUUGUCGUAGUACAAGUAGUUAUUAUGUGUUCUUUGGUGGUAAUUUGGUGUCAUGGUCCUCUUCAAAGCAAAAACUUGAUUUGCAUUAAGUCUUUACUUUUGGAACUUCAGGUUUAUCCCUCCUUUAUUCCUCUACUGCUUUGAGAUAGUGUUAGUGCAACCUUUUCAGCGGUGAAUCCUGUUCUUCACUCCCAAACAAAGCAUAUUGAAAAUGAUCCAACAUUUUACGACAGAAUGGAUAGCUCGUCUACAGCUUCUUGUACGUUUUGUACCUUCUGAAGAUCAACUAGCUGACAUUUUAACGAAGUUAAUGUCUUCUCGACCUUUCUGCAAAUUUAAGAACCAAACUUUUCGUAGUGCAUCUGUGGGUUAUUUAUCAUGUAUUUCCACUAUUAUAGUUGACUGUUUCUUCUCCAGUACGUGACUUACACAAACAAAGGCCUUAAUCCUUAUAUUCUGUCACUGUUCAUCAUCUUUAUCAAGAUCAGCACAGUACGAUUUCUACUA
Long non-coding RNA from Cucumis sativus (cucumber), 4706 nucleotides. RefSeq lists it as uncharacterized. Lineage: Eukaryota; Viridiplantae; Streptophyta; Magnoliopsida; Cucurbitales; Cucurbitaceae. The transcript is spliced from 2 exons. The record is from RefSeq and is a predicted model, not a curated record.